RNAcentral lists this ribosomal RNA (466 nucleotides) under uncultured bacterium. Its description in RNAcentral is "partial 16S ribosomal RNA". It matches the Rfam family "Bacterial small subunit ribosomal RNA", at positions 28 to 507 of the family's 1533-position model. The record is from RNAcentral.
GACGAACGCUGGCGGCGCGCCUAACACAUGCAAGUCGAACGAGCGAGAGAGAGCUUGCUUUCUCAAGCGAGUGGCGAACGGGUGAGUAACGCGUGAGGAACCUGCCUCAAAGAGGGGGACAACAGUUGGAAACGACUGCUAAUACCGCAUAAGCCCACAGGUCGGCCUCGACCAGAGGGAAAGGGAGCAAUCCGCUUUGAGAUGGCCUCGCGUCCGAUUAGCUAGUUGGUGAAGUAACGGCCCACCAAGGCAACGAUCGGUAGCCGGACUGAGAGGUUGAACGGCCACAUUGGGACUGAGACACGGCCCAGACUCCUACGGGAGGCAGCAGUGGGGAAUAUUGCACAAUGGGGGAAACCCUGAUGCAGCGACGCCGCGUGGAGGAAGAAGGUCUUCGGAUUGUAAACUCCUGUUGUUGAGGAAGAUAAUGACGGUACUCAACAAGGAAGUGACGGCUAACUACGUG